Molecule: ribosomal RNA, 466 nt
Filed under: uncultured bacterium
Lineage: Bacteria
Description: partial 16S ribosomal RNA
Rfam family: Bacterial small subunit ribosomal RNA
Source: RNAcentral
GACGAACGCUGGCGGCGUGCUUAACACAUGCAAGUCGAACGGAAAGGCCCUGCUUUUGUGGGGUGCUCGAGUGGCGAACGGGUGAGUAACACGUGAGUAACCUGCCCUUGACUUUGGGAUAACUUCAGGAAACUGGGGCUAAUACCGGAUAGGAGCUCCUGCUGCAUGGUGGGGGUUGGAAAGUUUCGGCGGUUGGGGAUGGACUCGCGGCUUAUCAGCUUGUUGGUGGGGUAGUGGCUUACCAAGGCUUUGACGGGUAGCCGGCCUGAGAGGGUGACCGGCCACAUUGGGACUGAGAUACGGCCCAGGCUCCUACGGGAGGCAGCAGUGGGGAAUAUUGCACCAUGGGCGGAAGCCUGAUGCAGCAACGCCGCGUGCGGGAUGACGGCCUUCGGGUUGUAAACCGCUUUCGCCUGUGACGAAGCGUGAGUGACGGUAAUGGGUAAAGAAGCACCGGCUAACUACG